Dioscorea cayenensis subsp. rotundata (Guinea yam) is the source of this 551-nucleotide long non-coding RNA. RefSeq lists it as uncharacterized. Lineage: Eukaryota; Viridiplantae; Streptophyta; Magnoliopsida; Dioscoreales; Dioscoreaceae. The transcript is spliced from 3 exons. The record is from RefSeq and is a predicted model, not a curated record.
UUCAGAGAAUGUCAAACAUGCUUAGUACUAAGGUUUGGCAGCAGAGGACUCCAAGAAAUUUCUUGGUCACAAAGCAAUAUUGAAACCAAUUGCAACAAGAAAAUGUACACUGUGGAAUCCCUAUCAUGUUUGUUAAGAAGAUGCAAGUCAAGCAGGAAGUUAGUCUCUUGGAUCAGACUUGAAGUAGAACUUUGGUAGAAUAUCAAGGUUAGUUUUUAUAUUCUUUUUAUUGUCUUUUCAGUCCAUCUAUUUCAAUUUAAGCUUUUUUUAAAUCAUUUUUUACUCUUUGAAUGAAUGUAAUCAAGUCCUCAAAACUGUAUUAAUCAUGAAAGUAUAUAAUAUACUCUACACAAUUCAUUCAUAAUAAUCAUUGUACCAUACAUAAUUUAGAAAAAUAAUGCAAAUUCUUUACCUCUUAUAUGAACCAUAGAAUGUAUGAGCAAUAAAAGUUAUUAAUCGGCAUGUUCAAAGAGUAGAUGGGGAAAUUGAUUGCAUUCAUUUAAAAAGUAGAGGGAUUAAAAAAAAACUUAAAUUGAAGUAAGAUGAUUAAA